Molecule: ribosomal RNA, 301 nt
Filed under: uncultured bacterium
Lineage: Bacteria
Description: partial 16S ribosomal RNA
Rfam family: Bacterial small subunit ribosomal RNA
Source: RNAcentral
CAGUCGCCGCGGUAAUACGGAGGGUGCAAGCGUUAAUCGGAAUUACUGGGCGUAAAGCGCACGCAGGCGGUCUGUCAAGUCAGAUGUGAAAUCCCCGGGCUUAACCUGGGAACUGCAUUUGAAACUGUCAGGCUGGAGUCUUGUAGAGGGGGGUAGAAUUCCAGGUGUAGCGGUGAAAUGCGUAGAGAUCGGGAGGAACAUCAGUGGCGAAGGCGGCCAUCUGGGACAACACUGACGCUGAGGCACGAAAGCGUGGGGAGCAAACAGGAUUAGAUACCCGAGUAGUCCCUGUCUCUUAUAC